GGAUAAGAAAUAUCAAGCAUGUUUUUUUUUCUCAUUAUGUUAGCUCACUAGGUUUAAGGAUAUUAAUCAGGAUGUUAGUUUUAUCUUUUGAAUUAUUAUUGUUUUUAUCUUUUGAAUUAUUGUUGGUUUUAUCGUUUUGAUUGUGUCACAUUUUGUAUCCUUAGCUUUGUUGCCUUUACUAUAUAUUCACAGUUGAAGGCUGUACAACAACUUCAUUAUUUUCAUAUAAAUUUGUGGCUGAACAGUUAUCUGCCAAAUUAAACCAAAGAAGGGAUGACUAGAAGAUUAAUUACAAUUGAGCUUGAAUUUGAGAAGAAACAAACUAGUUACAUAAUUGAUAAGAUGGUGGUAAAUAGUAAAUGUGUUAUUGUACAGUCUAUACAAAACUAAUGUUUACUUCUAUCGCUAUUAUGCAAUACUGAAAUGCAGAACUAGUGUUGUAGAAUAAAAAUAUAAAGACUAGUUGUUUCAGUUUACUACAUUAGAGAAUAAUUACAAUCAAAACAUAUGAACAACUUUUAAAGAAAGGGAUAAUAAAUAUAUCACAAGAAGUUGCACGCGUGCCGUACUAAAUAUGCACUCAUUCGGCAUUUAAAGUACCGGGAAAGAUGUGUCGGUCGAAUUCGAUGAUCAUAUGCGUCAACCCAUUUCUGUCAUGCUGCCGACCAAAUAUGAAGUCAUUAUGUUCACUACAACCUUAGAGAGGUGUAAACUUUGAAUAACGAACGGACGAUCGGACAAGGGUGUUGUUAUAAACGAGUGGGGUAGAAUAAAUGAUUUUGUAGCAGUGUUGAAGUAAAUUCCUGCUGAUAGAUUGUAUUUCUAUCACAGCUGAAACCAUUCUUCCAAUCAUUCAGUCAUUUCUGAAUUUCAUGAUUACGUGUCGUUCACGACAAUAUCAAAAUAAAGAUAUCCACCAGAGUCCAAAUGACGCGGUCGUAAGCAACUAUAAAAAGUUAAACUACAAAAAUUCCGAGGGAAAUACAAAAUAGAAAGUCCAUAAUCUUAUGUCAAACGAAUGGACAACAACUGUUAUAUUCCUGACUUGGUACAGACAUUUUCUUAUGUAGACAAUUGUGGAUCAAACCUGGUUGUAUAGCUAGCUAAACCUCUCACUUGUAUGACAGUCGCAUUAAAUUCGAUUAUAUGACAACAAUAUAUGUGAACAAAACAAACAGACAUAAUAGGUAAAAAUGUCAAAAUAGGGGUUCAACAUUCCAGAUUAUGUUAUAAUAUCAAUCACUAUAAAACAAACAAAUAUGUAACAAAGAAACACAAAGGAACAUAUAGACAAAGCACAAACGCAAACAUGAAAUACCAUAGCACAAUAACACGAUGACGGGAUGCACAAGUACCAAGCCACGUCAAAUGGAUGUCACAAACAGUUCACCAAACACUAAAUGUAAUAUUUAAAAAGACUAUUAUAAAAGAAUACUAGCACACGUUAUAAAAAAGAGGCACGAAAGAUACCAGAGGGACAGUCAAACUCAUUUAUCGAAAAUAAACUGAUAUUAUUAAGAUGAUACACAACUUCAGUACCCAGAAUCUAUACUUCAAGACCAUUGUGUAUAAUUUGUUGAUAGGAAUAUUUAUCAACAAAAACAUCAAUGAUACGAGGCCAUGUGCACCAAUCCCAUAUAAAAUUAUAAGUCGUAUUUGAAAGUACAUAUUUGAAGAAAGAAGACGGAACUAUAGUUUAAGAUAAUUAAAACAUAUCCGUCGUCAUCUGUCAACAAAUACUCAAAUUACGGUCAACCAACUAGUGAUGGUCCGUAAAGCUUUGGAAGCAACGACUUCUACCUUACCACUUGAACUCUUGGUUUAAAAGGUUUUUUGUAAGCAACAAC
Molecule: long non-coding RNA, 1847 nt
Filed under: Mytilus galloprovincialis (Mediterranean mussel)
Lineage: Eukaryota; Metazoa; Mollusca; Bivalvia; Mytilida; Mytilidae
Source: RNAcentral